Molecule: ribosomal RNA, 35 nt
Filed under: Chlorella sorokiniana
Lineage: Eukaryota; Viridiplantae; Chlorophyta; Trebouxiophyceae; Chlorellales; Chlorellaceae
Description: partial 28S ribosomal RNA
Source: RNAcentral
UCGACCUGAGCUCAGGCAAGAUUACCCGCUGAACU